UAAUUGCUGCCUUUGAAAAGGUCUUCACAUGAGUCUUUCGCCUCUUCCACACAUAACGUCUUAUAUCCAAGGAUUUAUUUUUCUAGGCCAAACGACUUUGCCUUCAUACAAUAUUUUGUACUUUCAAACCUACUAGAGCAAACUAAAUUUUCUUCUACUUAGAUGCUAUAUCUAUUGAAGAUAGCAUGUUCCUUCUGCCACUAUUCUAAAGUCAUGUCCUAUAAUAGUCAUUUUCCACAAUAUAUUGACAUUUUUUCGACCAUCCUCACAUUAAUUUAUCAAGUGGUAGAUGAGAGCUGAAAGAGAUACUUGCAAUUUGAUGAACUUCUUGGUGAUUAAGUAGAAAUAUUCCAUAUUGCUAUGUGACAUGUCAAAUGCUAAUUAACACAUGUGGGUG
RNAcentral lists this long non-coding RNA (397 nucleotides) under Carica papaya (papaya). Its description in RNAcentral is "long non-coding RNA (CPAP_LNC007049)". Lineage: Eukaryota; Viridiplantae; Streptophyta; Magnoliopsida; Brassicales; Caricaceae. The record is from RNAcentral.